Molecule: ribosomal RNA, 240 nt
Filed under: uncultured Bacteroidota bacterium
Lineage: Bacteria; Pseudomonadati; Bacteroidota
Description: uncultured Bacteroidetes bacterium partial 16S ribosomal RNA
Rfam family: Bacterial small subunit ribosomal RNA
Source: RNAcentral
GACCGGCGCGACGGUGAGUAACACGUAUCCAACCUGCCGAUGACUCGGGGAUAGCCUUUCGAAAGAAAGAUUAAUACCCGAUGGCAUAGUUCUUCCGCAUGGUGGAACUAUUAAAGAAUUUCGGUCAUCGAUGGGGAUGCGUUCCAUUAGGUUGUUGGCGGGGUAACGGCCCACCAAGCCUUCGAUGGAUAGGGGUUCUGAGAGGAAGGUCCCCCACAUUGGAACUGAGACACGGUCCAA